CCUAGGGACGCUCCAGUGGGGAAUAUUGCACAAUGGAGGAAACUCUGAUGCAGCAACGCCGCGUGGAGGAUGACACUUUUCGGAGCGUAAACUCCUUUUAUAUAGGAAGAAGAUGACGGUACUAUAUGAAUAAGCGCCGGCUAACUCCGUGCCAGCAGCCGCGGUAAUACGGAGGGCGCAAGCGUUACUCGGAAUCACUGGGCGUAAAGAGCGUGUAGGCGGAUUAAAAAGUCAGAAGUGAAAUCCUAUAGCUUAACUAUAGAACUGCUUCUGAAACUCUUAAUCUAGAAUAUGGGAGAGGUAGAUGGAAUUUCUGGUGUAGGGGUAAAAUCCGUAGAGAUCAGAAGGAAUACCGAUUGCGAAGGCGAUCUACUAGAACAUUAUUGACGCUGAGACGCGAAAGCGUGGGGAGCAAACAGGAUUAGAUACCCGUGUAGUC
Molecule: ribosomal RNA, 439 nt
Filed under: uncultured bacterium
Lineage: Bacteria
Description: partial 16S ribosomal RNA
Rfam family: Bacterial small subunit ribosomal RNA
Source: RNAcentral